GUGAACCUGCGGAAGGAUCAUUGUUGAGAGAGCAUCAUAGAAUGAUGGAUGAUUGUGAACGUGUGAACGUGACCCUUUCGUCAUCAGCCCGCCCAUGUUGGUGGGCGAUUGACCGUAGCUCGGUGCGAUCGGCACUAAGGAACAACGAACUUGGAAGCAGAGGGCCCCUCAGCGUGAGCGGGGAGCCCAAUGCGUCGGAGAUUCUUCGGAAUCAAAUGACUCUCGGCAAUGGAUAUCUCGGCUCUUGCAUCGAUGAAGAACGUAGUGAAAUGCGAUACUUGGUGUGAAUUGCAGAAUCUCGUGAACCAUUGAGUCUUUGAACGCAAGUUGUGCCCGAGGCCUUGUGGUCGAGGGCACGCCUGCUUGGGCGUCAUGGCAUCGUCGCUUUUGCUCCAUGCUUUGUCGGCAUUGAGCGCGGAAGUUGGCCCCGUGUGCCCUCUCGGGCACAGUCGGUCGAAGAGCGGGUAGUCGGUAAUCGUCGAGCACGAUGGACGUUGGUCGUCGCGAGCGAGAACUGAACGUCGUCCUCGUCGUUUUGGGAUGAGCCCUCAAUAAAGAGACCCUGUGUGAUUGAUGAUUGCGGAGCCGCGCGAAAGCGCCGCGUCAAUCAUUCGCGUGCGGCCCCAAGUC
Molecule: ribosomal RNA, 630 nt
Filed under: Curcuma amada
Lineage: Eukaryota; Viridiplantae; Streptophyta; Magnoliopsida; Zingiberales; Zingiberaceae
Description: eukaryotic LSU rRNA
Rfam family: 5.8S ribosomal RNA (bases 218-373)
Source: RNAcentral